RNAcentral lists this ribosomal RNA (261 nucleotides) under uncultured archaeon. RNAcentral's name for it is "partial 16S ribosomal RNA". It matches the Rfam family "Archaeal small subunit ribosomal RNA", at positions 748 to 1009 of the family's 1478-position model. The record is from RNAcentral.
CAGCCGUAAACUAUGCUCGCUAGGUGUCAGGCAUGGCGCGACCGUGUCUGGUGCCGCAGGGAAGCCGUGAAGCGAGCCACCUGGGAAGUACGGCCGCAAGGCUGAAACUUAAAGGAAUUGGCGGGGGAGCACAACGACGGGUGGAGCCUGCGGUUUAAUUGGACUCAACGCCGGACAACUCACCGGGAACGACAGCAAUAUGUAGGCCAGGCUGAAGACCUUGCCUGAAUCGCUGAGAGGAGGUGCAUGGCGUAGACGUCU